This 497-nucleotide ribosomal RNA is filed under the name uncultured bacterium. Its description in RNAcentral is "partial 16S ribosomal RNA". It matches the Rfam family "Bacterial small subunit ribosomal RNA", at positions 28 to 507 of the family's 1533-position model. The record is from RNAcentral.
GAUGAACGCUGGCGGCGUGCCUAAUACAUGCAAGUCGAGCGAACAGACGAGGAGCUUGCUCCUCUGACGUUAGCGGCGGACGGGUGAGUAACACGUGGAUAACCUACCUAUAAGACUGGGAUAACUUCGGGAAACCGGAGCUAAUACCGGAUAAUAUAUUGAACCGCAUGGUUCAAUAGUGAAAGACGGUUUUGCUGUCACUUAUAGAUGGAUCCGCGCCGCAUUAGCUAGUUGGUAAGGUAACGGCUUACCAAGGCAACGAUGCGUAGCCGACCUGAGAGGGGGAUCGGCCACACUGGAACGGAGACACGGUCCAGACUCCUACGGGAGGCAGCAGUAGGGAAUCUGCCGCAAUGGGCGAAAGCCUGACGGAGCAACGCCGCGUGAGUGAUGAAGGUCUUCGGAUCGUAAAACUCUGUUAUUAGGGAAGAACAAAUGUGUAAGUAACUAUGCACGUCUUGACGGUACCUAAUCAGAAAGCCACGGCUAACUACGUG